CUAUAUGUAAGCACUUGUCUUCAUCUUCUCGUACUGCCCAUUUCGCUAAGUCUCCAUUUCUCAUCCUAAUGGAAUUUAAUUUCAUUCCGCAAAUUCAAACACUUCUCUAAGAAUUUUUAAGAAUGUUUUCCGGCUCCUUGUGUCAGGUGUUCUCUCCUCCUACAUCUCCCAUCCUUUUUUUUUCCAUUUUUCUCGGUAUGAAUACCAUUGCGAUUAUGAUAGUACUACAACG
Molecule: long non-coding RNA, 232 nt
Filed under: Carica papaya (papaya)
Lineage: Eukaryota; Viridiplantae; Streptophyta; Magnoliopsida; Brassicales; Caricaceae
Description: long non-coding RNA (CPAP_LNC000893)
Source: RNAcentral